UUACAUAUUUUCAUAUUUGAAAGACUUGCUAAGACCUUCAUUUUUCAAGUUUCGAUUGGCUUGUCACUUCACUAUAUAUAUUCUGAGAAAGAGACGAAAACCACAAAUAGUAUUAAAGUUACGAAAUAUUAAAAAUAACUUUUUCUCAACAUGUUCAAUAUUAAAUUUGCUGCUGUAUUACGCCCAUGGCUCUGUUUGCUCACGAGCAAAAAAACACGAAAAACCUUUGCUUCCUGUUACAAUAGCAUUUGAAUCAAAUUUUCUUUAUUUCUUUCUUGACAAAUGUCUCUGGAUUCUAAAUUUGCAGGUUAUAAAUCUCUUUUCAACUAGUGUCGCUGUUUGUCAAAUAUUGCAUCUUUGCUUUUUAUUGAAAGCAUUAUGACAACAAAGAAAAAAUCAUUUUUUUGUAUUAGCCAAGAAUAAAUUCCACAGAUACAUAGAGUAUAAAAAGGAAAAACAGAAAGAUGACUUCUACACUAGCUAUCAAACGCUUAAAAGAGUGCGCAAGAUUCAAGAGACAAAGGCACAAAAUUUGAGUGAGGAUGUACACUUUGAAAUAUUAUCUGGCAUUUAUGUUUGCACUGCUAUGUGUGCUUGGUGUUGCUAACAGUCGAUCUUUGGGAAAAGAAAAACUUGAGGAAAAAGAAGACGCACGAAAUUCUUUGGAAGCUGACGAAGAGACAUUUCUUUUUUCUCGAGAAUAUGAGGAUUGCCUCCAGAAAGCUUCUUCUUGCUUCAGAAGCAACGUGGCUGCCGCUUGCUAUGCAACGUUGAAUCGGUGCAUGGGGAAAAAGAAAUGAAGAAAAGUUGUAUCAUUGAACUGCAAAACAAUGGGUGGAAAUUAUUCUAGAACUGUUAUUAGUCGACUCACCUUAUGAAGCAUAGUCAGUUACUUCAGUUUGUAAAUCACAAAAAGAGUUCGUCAUAAA
Long non-coding RNA from Rhopilema esculentum, 929 nucleotides. RefSeq lists it as uncharacterized. NCBI's taxonomy places the organism in Eukaryota, Metazoa, Cnidaria, Scyphozoa, Rhizostomeae, Rhizostomatidae. The record is from RefSeq and is a predicted model, not a curated record.